RNAcentral lists this ribosomal RNA (206 nucleotides) under uncultured bacterium. RNAcentral describes it as "partial 16S ribosomal RNA". It matches the Rfam family "Bacterial small subunit ribosomal RNA", at positions 1295 to 1500 of the family's 1533-position model. The record is from RNAcentral.
GGACUGUAGUCUGCAACCCGACUACACGAAGCUGGAAUCGCUAGUAAUCGCGAAUCAGAAUGUCGCGGUGAAUACGUUCCCGGGUCUUGUACACACCGCCCGUCACACCAUGGGAGUCGGGAAUGCCUGAAGUCAGUGACCCAACCAUAUGGAGGGAGCUGCCGAAGGCAGGUCUGAUAACUGGGGUGAAGUCGUAACAAGGUAAC